RNAcentral lists this ribosomal RNA (421 nucleotides) under Pristimantis conspicillatus (chirping robber frog). RNAcentral's name for it is "partial large subunit ribosomal RNA". It matches the Rfam family "Bacterial large subunit ribosomal RNA", at positions 1836 to 2457 of the family's 2925-position model. The record is from RNAcentral. Lineage: Eukaryota; Metazoa; Chordata; Amphibia; Anura; Strabomantidae.
CUUGUCUCUAUAAGAGGUCCAGCCUGCCCAGUGACCCAGUUCAACGGCCGCGGUAUCCUAACCGUGCAAAGGUAGCGUAAUCACUUGUCUUUUAAAUAAAGACUAGUAUGAAAGGCACCACGAGAAUUAAACUGUCUCCUUUUUCCAAUCAAUGAACCUAAUACCCCCGUGAAGAAGCGGGGAUUUUAUAAUAAGACGAGAAGACCCUAUGGAGCUUUAAGCAUCAUAAUCACCUGCCCACAAACCCACAAACCAAAAAACUCAGGUUCCACGCCCAAACCCAUAAUGAUUAUAUGCUUUUGGUUGGGGUGACCGCGGAGAAAAACCCAUCCCCCGCGAUGAAAAUACUACCCAAACAACAAGCCACAGCUUUAUGUAUCAACAAAUUGACACCAUUGACCCAAUAUAUUGAUUAACGAAC